GUGGGGAAUAUUAGGCAAUGGGGGAAACCCUGACCUAGCGACGCCGCGUGAAGGAUGAAGGUUUUCGGAUUGUAAACUUCUUUGGCAGAGGACGAUAAUGACGGUACUCUGAGAACAAGCCACGGCUAACUACGUGCCAGCAGCCGCGGUAAUACGUAGGUGGCGAGCGUUGUCCGGAUUUACUGGGUGUAAAGGGCGAGUAGGCGGGCUAACAAGUCAGAUGUGAAAUACCGAGGCUCAACCUCGGGGCUGCAUUUGAAACUGUUAGUCUUGAGUGAUGGAGAGGCAGGCGGAAUUCCCAGUGUAGCGGUAAAAUGCAUAGAGAUUGGGAGGAACACCAGUGGCGAAGGCGGCCUGCUGGACAUUAACUGACGCUGAGGAGCGAAAGUGUGGGGAGCAAACAGGAUUAGAAACCCGAGUAGUCC
RNAcentral lists this ribosomal RNA (425 nucleotides) under uncultured bacterium. RNAcentral's name for it is "bacterial SSU rRNA". It matches the Rfam family "Bacterial small subunit ribosomal RNA", at positions 354 to 796 of the family's 1533-position model. The record is from RNAcentral.